UUAAUUGAUGAGAAGCUUCAAGUUGUUGUUAACUGAUCUUUGCCGCGGGAGAGGAUGAUGUUAGAGUGCGACUUAGAUUCGCAAUGAUUUGCUUCUGUAAGCGAUUUUCUCAUGUAGGAGUAGAAGACUUAAUUGUUUUGAACUUUUUGACAAUAAAAUCACUCACCCUUUUUGCAAAGUGCGAGUAAUACACUGGUUGAGAAAUGAAAACAUUUUGCAGCAAUUCAGCAUCAUAUGUAUACAAUAUGGCAAUACCCAAAAUCAGGAUUUUACAACCUGGCAGAUGGAAAGUCCCAGAUGCAGCUUUUAACAUUUAAUUAUACCCUAUAAAUGAUGCAAAUAAGUCGCAGAUGAAGUCCCACAUGCAUCAGCAUAAUCGCAGAUAAAUGAUCCAUAGUUUUGGACAGCUUUGGGACCGAGUCUUGUUUGCUUCUUUCAGUGACUGCAGCUUCGUCCACUGUUACUUUUGCUGUUGACGUUGUAGUGGUCUGAUGUCGUGAUUUCUGUCAAUUGAUUUUGGUUUUGGGAUAUGAUAAUUUACUGUUUUAAUGUUGGAAUUAAGUUAAAUUUCAUCCUAUUUUGAGUUAUAUAAUUGCUACUUUGCAAAAAUACAUGUUUGAAAUAACUCUCUGAUCAUCCCUUAAUUUAUAAUGUACCAAAUUUCGUAUUCA
RNAcentral lists this unclassified non-coding RNA (671 nucleotides) under Hevea brasiliensis (rubber tree). The record is from RNAcentral. Lineage: Eukaryota; Viridiplantae; Streptophyta; Magnoliopsida; Malpighiales; Euphorbiaceae.